UUUUAUUCCCGUUAUGAUUCCGUAUUCAGUGUCCCAUGCUUAUUACGAAUCUGUGUGCUUUCCUCUGCUUUCCUCUGUUUUAUAUUCCUUAUGGGUGCCGUAUUUAUGUUAUGUCAUCUGCUUCUGUGCUUUACUAUGUGUUUGUAUGUUAUCUUGUGCCUUGAGCCGGGGGUCUUUCGGAAACAGCCUUUCUACUUCAUCAGAGGUAGAGGUAUGGACUGCGUACAUCUUACCCCCCCCAGACCCCACUAAGUGGGAAUACACUGGGUUUGUUGUUGUUGUUGUUGU
This 288-nucleotide long non-coding RNA is filed under the name Capsicum annuum. RNAcentral describes it as "long non-coding RNA (CANN_LNC008753)". Lineage: Eukaryota; Viridiplantae; Streptophyta; Magnoliopsida; Solanales; Solanaceae. The record is from RNAcentral.